Molecule: ribosomal RNA, 253 nt
Filed under: uncultured bacterium
Lineage: Bacteria
Description: partial 16S ribosomal RNA
Rfam family: Bacterial small subunit ribosomal RNA
Source: RNAcentral
UACGUAGGGGGCUAGCGUUGUCCGGAAUCAUUGGGCGUAAAGCGCGUGUAGGCGGUCCGGUAAGUCAGCUGUGAAAGUCGGGGGCUCAACCCUCGGAUGCCGGUGGAUACUGUCGGGCUUGAGUACGGAAGAGGCGAGUGGAAUUCCUGGUGUAGCGGUGAGAUGCGCAGAUAUCAGGAGGAACACCAAUUGCGAAGGCGGGUCUCUGGGCCGAUACUGACGCUGAGGAGCGAAAGCGUGGGGAGCGAACAGG